RNAcentral lists this ribosomal RNA (491 nucleotides) under uncultured bacterium. RNAcentral's name for it is "partial 16S ribosomal RNA". It matches the Rfam family "Bacterial small subunit ribosomal RNA", at positions 28 to 507 of the family's 1533-position model. The record is from RNAcentral.
GAUGAACGCUAGCUACAGGCUUAACACAUGCAAGUCGAGGGGAAACGACAUUGAAGCUUGCUUCGAUGGUCGUCGACCGGCGCACGGGUGAGUAACGCGUAUCCAACCUGCCUCUGACCAAGGGAUAACCCGUCGAAAGUCGGCCUAAUACCUUAUGCAGUCGUCGGAAGUCAUCUGAUGACGACGAAAGAUUUCAUCGGUGAGAGAUGGGGAUGCGUCUGAUUAGCUUGUUGGCGGGGUAACGGCCCACCAAGGCAACGAUCAGUAGGGGUUCUGAGAGGAAGGCCCCCCACAUUGGAACUGAGACACGGUCCAAACUCCUACGGGAGGCAGCAGUGAGGAAUAUUGGUCAAUGGGCGAGAGCCUGAACCAGCCAAGUAGCGUGCAGGAUGACGGCCCUAUGGGUUGUAAACUGCUUUUAUGCGGGGAUAAAGUGAGGGACGUGUCCUUCAUUGCAGGUACCGCAUGAAUAAGGACCGGCUAAUUCCGUG